UACGUAGGGUGCAAGCGUUAAUCGGAAUUACUGGGCGUAAAGCGUGCGCAGGCGGUUGUGCAAGACAGAUGUGAAAUCCCCGGGCUCAACCUGGGAAUUGCAUUUGUGACUGCACGGCUAGAGUGUGUCAGAGGGGGGUAGAAUUCCACGUGUAGCAGUGAAAUGCGUAGAGAUGUGGAGGAACACCGGUGGCGAAGGCGGCGUCCUGGACCAACACUGACACUGAUGAGCGAAAGCCAGGGGAGCAAACGGG
Molecule: ribosomal RNA, 253 nt
Filed under: uncultured bacterium
Lineage: Bacteria
Description: partial 16S ribosomal RNA
Rfam family: Bacterial small subunit ribosomal RNA
Source: RNAcentral